UGCAGGAUGUCGAUCACUGAUGACAGUUUUCUUGGUCUUCUAGGCAUAGGUACAAUUUCAUCCGUAAAGUGAAGCUACUAGUCUUUUGUACUAUUUGGAUUAUACCUUAGUGCUCUUAUAUCAACAACGCAGUGAUCACCCGCCAAGACCAGGUCGAAAUGAUUCAUAGAUAUAGUAAUCCUUGUUGCUGAAAUCUUUGAAAAGUGUGUCGUCAGGUGUAAUUACUUCGUAAGGACAUGAUUUGGUUCUAGCUUCUUUAGUGAUGGUAAAAAGAUUUCCCGAUUUUUCAAUUUCCUCUCAAUUACCGAGUGAACAGAGUCGAUAGAGUCCACAUAAUUCUGUGUUAUAAUUAAGGACUAUGUUCUUUGCCAUAGCUAAUCUCAGCAACGUAUUUGACACAAAAUUGUAAUUUUGCACAGUACAACUAUCUGUAUAAAUUAUCCCAUCCUUUGGACUAUCAUUAAUUUACUUGGUUACAUAAUCUUCGAAAAAUGAUUCGUAUGUCGUAAAUUUCAAAUCACAGACUGUCGUCAAACCAGAAACAUGUGACACCAUUAUUUGCCAGGUAGACUGGUUAAUUGCAUUGGCAAGUAUGUAAUGUCACAUUAUGAGAUGUUUCUCCAAGGACUGUUACUAUGGAAUCUGUUGAAAUCAAUUGUAAUGUAGGCGUUUCUUGUCGUCAUCAUCAUGCAAUUCGAGGCCAUUACAUUCAACGUUAUUCUAUUAUGUUAUAGUCAAGUUGAUUGAGGUAACUAUCAGAAGGAGAAUGAAUGCCGUUGACAUAGCAUGGAUCGUCUUAAGAAUCUGAGCCUGAUAAAUUAGAUAUUUCAGAUAAAUUUUGGAUAACCUCAUCUAAAUUCUUUUCAGUUAGUAACACUUUAGGUAUUUUGAGUUUUACUUAACUAACACAAAGUUGCCAAUUUUAUACUAAAAUAUAAUAAGUCCUGAGUACAUUCUCCUCGUUUCGAUAUAUCGUUAACAAGGAGAAAGGCACACAAUUGUCAGUCGUAAGGAUAUAGAGAAUUAUAUUAGUUUGGGAACAAUAAGAGUGGUUCGACUGAGUGGGGAGUCCUGCACCUACUUUCAAGAUAGCACGAUGCGCUCUCUCGAUCUCAAUGAGGUAUGUUUUGGCAGCGCCUCUCCACAAGGGUAUGCAAUACACCACCAAAGAAUGACAUAAAGCAUAGAAUACCAUCCUAAGGACGUUGCGAUCAGCGAUGUGCUCGAGAUUCUUGAAGACAAAAAUAAGUUUACGUAAUUUUGAUACCAGGGAUUCGACGUAUUUCUAAAAGUAUAUAAUAUUUCUGAAAGUAUUCUUCCACAUUUGAACAUCCUGCUAGUGUUGUUUUGCGUUUUCCAACCCGGCGUGUUAGUCCUGAGUCAUCAACAGCACUAUUUGAAUCGAAUGGAUGAAGACCACAUCGCUUAAACCCACUUUUGAUGUUGUCAGACAUGUUAGGAUGUUUUAAUGCAUCAUUUAGCAAUGUGUAAAUGUUUGUUUUUGUGACGGCAGAAUGAAAAUUUUCUGGCUUUAAUAGGAAUACGCGGACUUUACAUUGCCAAUAUGUUUUUACUGGUGCAAAUACGCUAACGUCAGCUGGUAGUUAAAUAUGAAUGGUGUCGGGCGGAAGGGCAUACAAAAUAAUUUGCAUUUGUUCACUUUCACACAGCAUUAAGGACAUAUUCGACUUAUGACCAGCAGAAGCACGGGUUUUUUAAUGUUAUUUUCUACUAUCCAGUUGCGAAACUCGUUGGUGAUGUAAUCAAAGAAAACAUCUCCUUUCAUCCAACCUGUCUCCUAUCUGCGUAAGACCCUAUGUUGGGGCAUACUGUUCACUAUAACAGCUUUUGGUGGUCUAAUGUAUGAAAACACAAUACAAGGUGUUCACAUAUCUCCAUUAGCAUCAAAUGUUAAUAAUACCGUUAUGUUUUCUUUUUCGUUACUUGGUUUUAUUUGGUAUAAGUUUUUGAACCCUCUUGAGCCUAAAACUUUUCCCGUCUUUGGACGAAGACCAAAUCCACUUUUUUCUCCAUUGAAAAUUCUUUUAGGAUCACUCAAAAUAUCUUUUUGAUGUACGAGUGUUUGAAACUACACUUUUAACCCAAAUAAUUUAUUAACAGAAAAAACAAGAAAAUAAUUUUGUUGAAACACUAAACGUCAAAUCUGAUUUUAUUCUUCUUUUUCUUAUCCAACCUCAUUUGACUGUUAUUAAUAAAAAUAGUAUGAAUGUAACCAGAUUUGAAGAUUUUUACAUUAAACACAGUCUAUUCGACUCUUCUCCGACUUGGGCUCUAGCUUUAUUAAUGUCCUCCGUAUUUUAAACCCCUUCGGACCUAAAUUAAAUAUUGAUGAUAAAAAUAAUAUUUUUUAUGUUUUAUUAGCUGAUUACCGAUAAGAGUAUUAAGAACAUAUUUUCUUUAAAAAAAUAUAAUUUUCCUUUUACAGUUUUCUAGACAUUUUUAUGUCCUCUGAAAUGGACUUCAGGUUCUAAGUGUUGUUUCUUAAUGAUGUGUACCGGAUUUAUAAUAAUAAAUUAAUAUUUAAUUUAGUUCAAAUUUUUACUAAUAUUGUCUUUUAUUAACGCGCGCAAUAUAAAUCGCGUUUUAAUCCGUUAUCAAGUUUUUUAUUUAGAAUGUUACUAAUUUAUCUCUAUGGAUAGGUUUUUGAAUAAAAAACUAUGUAUUAAUGAAAAUGUUUAGUUAGUAACACACUUAAAUAUUAAUGAAAUCAAGAUUUUUGGUAAAAGAUACGAAAAUAGUUUCUUUCACUAGUGAAAUAUGUGUAUUUCGCAUUUGAAGCAAUUAACAUGUGUUUCGCCUUUGCAUUCUGGUUUUUUACAUGUAGUAGCUUCCUUUUUUCUAUCGUAUUCUGGCAAAUUUAUUUAUUUUUUUAUUACAUACAUGAUCUUAAAUAGAAAGAAGUUGGUGUGGUGGAAACACAAACUGGACACAGUUUUUCUGUCCACCAGGACGUCGAACAUAUUUAAAUAAUUAACUUAUUACAUACUUACGCCAGUGACAUACUAUACAAUAUAACAUUUUUACAAUUAAACCAUCAAAAUUGCACGAACAACGUAAUAAACCAAUUGAAACAUCGACGCUCCACAGUUAGCCGAUGAAAGAAACCUGUUCUUGACGAUUAAAAUGAUUAACAGUAUCGUACUGAACUUCAGGUAUUGGCCUCAUUUCAACUUGACGUCGUCGAGUUUGUGUAAAUGUUGGAAUGCUUAUGGGACUGCUACUUCCAGAAGAUGGACGUCCUCUUUUUCUGUUGUUUAGUGGCUGUCCCAUUUUUAACAGCAAAUCUGCGUCAGCAUUUUUAACGCGCUGCCGAAAAUUGAGUUAUUUCAGAAUAUAUUUCUCUGGUAUCUUACUGGAAUAUCAUACGAAGCGUCCAUUUUUUCUAUCGAAUAAAGAUACGGUACAGACUAAUUAGAUGAUCUGUUUUAUCUAUUCCUUCCAUUCCAUUUGAAUUCUACAUGUCUUCUCCAAGUUAUAUCCGCUUUACGCGUUUUAGGCUGUCGACUGGAUCGAGGAAUUGGCUCUUCUUGGUUUGAAUGGUGUUCAUUUUCUUCUUCAUCUUUCAAAGGUUCGUUGGGAGGACGAUAAUACUACCUACACGAGGCGGCGUUUUGAAGUAUUCUGUAGAAUUUCAUCAUCGCUUUCUUCGUCGUUAUUAGACAAAGUCCCAUCUUCAAGUAUGUUUAGCAAAUUGUCAACAUCUCAUCUAGAUGAGUCAAAACCUGAAAUAUCAUAAAGUAAUUAAAAAUAGUAUUUUUUUUUUCAAACUUAUCACAAUAAAUGUUAAGCUCAAAUUUAUCUAUUGAAACCUGUUGUCCAUUACAAUAGACAUGGCAAUAAGUACAGAUUUUACACAGUAAGAUACAAAGAUCCAUGAUUAUUAUAAUGUCUGCAUAUAAAAAGAACACUAUUCUUUGAGUAAAAUAUAUAAUUUAACAUAGAUAACCGCUAUGUUCAAUAAAAAUAAAACAAAAAUACACUUACGUGCUUUUCGGCUGUACAUGACUGUUCACUUCACUUUAUUAAUUAUUUCUACCUAACAACAUCACAUUUCUUGAACGUUGUUUAUGAUAUUUCGAUCCUAAGUACUUCUCGGAUUUCUAGCAUUGUUUACAUUCGACUUACAUAGUUCUUGUGUAUGUGACAUUUAUUAAGGGCUUCCCAAAUAGCCUCGUGAUAAAUUGUGUCAAACGCUUUGGCAUAGUCAAUAAAAGCGAUGUAAAGUGGCUUGUUAAACUCCCUGUAUUUUCCCAUUAUUUGUUGCAGUACAUAUAUAUAGUCCGUCGGAGGCCGGAUUCCGCUUGUUCUACUGGCUGAUGGUUAUCGAUUGUCGGACCCAGACGGCUUUGUAAAAUUGACAUGAAUAUUUUAUACACACUUGAAAGGAGACUAAUCGGGCGGUAUUUGGAGAUGUCUUCAGGGUCUACUUACUUGUAUAGAAGUACUAUGUCUGAUUUUCUCCAUUGCGUCGGUACUUGACCUGUGUUUAAAACCUCGUUGAACAAGUACGUAAGUGGGCUAGUUAGUAGGGUAACACCAGAUUUUAAAGCUUAAUUUUGUAUGCCGUCAGGGCAGGGACUUUUAUCUGUUUUGAGUUUCUUGAUAUUAUGUUUAAAUACUGCCUUCUCAUCCACUGGUGGCAAAUCGAUCACACUUUGCGGUUUUGGUAUUGCAGCGCUUGUUGCGGUGAUACUUGAUAAACACGGAGUAGGUUUUGUGUACAAUUGCUUAUAAUUGUCUGUGGCGCAGUUUAUGAUAUCUUUUCUGGUUUUUGUUUCUUUAGUUUUAGAUCGCAAGUUUUGGAUCCAACUUUUAUGUGUGGUUAAUUUCUUGUAUGCUCUUUUCGUGCUUCUGUACGUGUAUAUAUUUUCCUCAAUUAUUUUGUACCUGUGGUCUUUGUAGUCUUUAUCUAUUGCCUUGCUUGUAGUUUUAAAUAGUGUGCUCUUCUUUCUUUCGUUUUUUGUUUGGUUUUCAGGAGCUCAGUUCGCCUUUUAAGAAGAGUUUUAGUAGGCUCGCUAAGAAUUUUGUUAAUAGAUUUUUGUUGUUUAUUUAUACAUGUGCAUGCAACGCUGGAGGCAAUGAUGCUAAGUUGUCGUAAAAGGUUUGAAUAUCUUUUUCUUGUGUUUCAUUAUAUAUCAUUAAUUAACCCACACAAUUAAACAAACUAAAUAAAUAAAAUUACUGCUCCUCGACCUCCACAAUAGAAACUACUGCUUGUGACAGAAUAUCAGGUUCAAGGAUACUUUGUGAUAAAUCUCCAGCUUGGGAAUAAAAUACUAUAGAAUUUUCUCUUCCUGAUUGGGGAUUUACUGUAUUGUAUGGAGGUGUUACUGUAGAAACGCUGUCCAGAGUUGCAGCAGGAAUACUUUGAGGAUUCUAUCCAAUACAUGAUUGUGAAGGUUCUGGGGACUCAACGUAAUACGUAUUAGAAGAAGGCGAUGGAGUAAAACGGCUACUAUUAUUCAUUGGCGAAGGGGUUCUACUACUGUUCAUUAAUUGUUGUAUACGCAUAUCGGACAAAUAGUUUUGGAUAUGUUUUUGAGCUUCCAGCGCCGAAAGCAAAGGCAUAGCUUUUAACUGUUCUGCAACACUUUUAGCAAAAUGGUCAAACUCAUGUUCAGUAGUAGAUUGCGAACUUGCUAUUCAUAGUAUUGUUAAUGCAGCUCAUUUUAUCCACAAGUGAAUGUAAGUCCAGGAGUCUUCUUUUACGAGUGGCGUUAGUAGGAUUUGGCAUUGUAAAUUGUUGCUCGCUAGUUGAUGUAGGCUGACUGAUUUCAUCAUCAGUUGUUUGAUCAAUUGAAUUGUCUCCAUGAUUCAUUAUUCUCAUUAUUCUUCAUUAUUCUCCUGUAACAAAACAUAAAUAAAGUAUAUAUAGAGUAGACCAAACGACGCAGAAAAAACUUGACGAUUCGAAUGGUAUAUAGAACUCAUUUUAAGUAUUUUUGUCGCUUAGAUAUUUUUGCCUUUCAAGCGUCGAUAUUCCACACAGAGAGAACACGUGCAGUCACCACCAAUAUAUAAAGACGACUGACGGACCUUUGACUGACCGGCGACCGCCGCCGACCGCCCGAAUUGUUUUCGAUUGUGUACACAUGAUAUUGACUCCUAUUUCUUUCGAACAAGGUGCAAAAUGCAAGUGAGCAGGAGGUGAAGAACAAAACCUCACUUUUCCACUUUUUAUUAUUUUAAAGCAUGUGCUACACGGUAUGAAACGGCGGUUUGAAACGAAAUAAAAGCGAGUUGCGCUUUUCGGCUACACGGUUUAAAAC
Molecule: long non-coding RNA, 6290 nt
Organism: Pieris napi
Lineage: Eukaryota; Metazoa; Arthropoda; Insecta; Lepidoptera; Pieridae
Exons: 2
Source: RefSeq, a predicted model, not a curated record